Long non-coding RNA from Mastomys coucha (southern multimammate mouse), 245 nucleotides. RefSeq lists it as uncharacterized. Lineage: Eukaryota; Metazoa; Chordata; Mammalia; Rodentia; Muridae. The record is from RefSeq and is a predicted model, not a curated record. The transcript is spliced from 2 exons.
CCAGCUUCUUGGACUCACCAUGACAGUUCUGAGGAGGUAUUUGGCACAAUACCCCUCAACCAGAAUUUGUCCGCUAUUUUCCUAGGGGUUUGACUGGAGUUACACGUUUCAGGGAAGAAGGCCACAGAGAUGCCACUGUUUGGAAGGAAGUCACUACACACUGCCACACAUAAGGGAUGGAGAAGGGGAUGCCUUCUUGUGUAAGGAAGUGCUGCAUAAAUUAUUUGCAAUUCUUCUGCUCCAGG